RNAcentral lists this ribosomal RNA (699 nucleotides) under Lelliottia sp. RNAcentral's name for it is "bacterial SSU rRNA". It matches the Rfam family "Bacterial small subunit ribosomal RNA", at positions 49 to 737 of the family's 1533-position model. The record is from RNAcentral. Lineage: Bacteria; Pseudomonadati; Pseudomonadota; Gammaproteobacteria; Enterobacterales; Enterobacteriaceae.
UAACACAUGCAAGUCGAACGGUAACAGGAAGCAGCUUGCUGCUUUGCUGACGAGUGGCGGACGGGUGAGUAAUGUCUGGGAAACUGCCUGAUGGAGGGGGAUAACUACUGGAAACGGUAGCUAAUACCGCAUAACGUCUUCGGACCAAAGAGGGGGACCUUCGGGCCUCUUGCCAUCAGAUGUGCCCAGAUGGGAUUAGCUAGUAGGUGGGGUAAUGGCUCACCUAGGCGACGAUCCCUAGCUGGUCUGAGAGGAUGACCAGCCACACUGGAACUGAGACACGGUCCAGACUCCUACGGGAGGCAGCAGUGGGGAAUAUUGCACAAUGGGCGCAAGCCUGAUGCAGCCAUGCCGCGUGUAUGAAGAAGGCCUUCGGGUUGUAAAGUACUUUCAGCGAGGAGGAAGGCAUUAAGGUUAAUAACCUUAGUGAUUGACGUUACUCGCAGAAGAAGCACCGGCUAACUCCGUGCCAGCAGCCGCGGUAAUACGGAGGGUGCAAGCGUUAAUCGGAAUUACUGGGCGUAAAGCGCACGCAGGCGGUCUGUCAAGUCGGAUGUGAAAUCCCCGGGCUCAACCUGGGAACUGCAUUCGAAACUGACAGGCUAGAGUCUUGUAGAGGGGGGUAGAAUUCCAGGUGUAGCGGUGAAAUGCGUAGAGAUCUGGAGGAAUACCGGUGGCGAAGGCGGCCCCCUGGACAAA